CGGAGGAUCCAAGCGUUAUCCGGAAUUACUGGGCGUAAAGAGUUGCGUAGGUGGCACUGUAAGUUGUUAGUGAAAGCGUCCGGCUCAACCGGAUAAACAUUACCAAAACUGCAGAGCUAGAGGACAAGAGAGGUUAUUGGAAUUCCUAGUGUAGGAGUGAAAUCCGUAGAUAUUAGGAGGAACACCGAUGGCGUAGGCAGAUAACUGGCUUGUUCCUGACACUAAGGCACGAAAGCAUGGGUAGCAAACGGGAUUAGAUACCCCGGUAGUCCAUGCCGUAAACGAUGGAUGCUAGCUGUUAUCGGUAUCGACCCCGGUAGUAGCGAAGCUAACGCGUUAAGCAUCCCGCCUGUGGAGUACGGUCGCAAGACUA
This 373-nucleotide ribosomal RNA is filed under the name uncultured organism. Its description in RNAcentral is "bacterial SSU rRNA". It matches the Rfam family "Bacterial small subunit ribosomal RNA", at positions 526 to 896 of the family's 1533-position model. The record is from RNAcentral.